RNAcentral lists this ribosomal RNA (277 nucleotides) under uncultured bacterium. RNAcentral's name for it is "partial 16S ribosomal RNA". It matches the Rfam family "Bacterial small subunit ribosomal RNA", at positions 335 to 604 of the family's 1533-position model. The record is from RNAcentral.
ACUCCUACGGGAGGCAGCAGUGGGGAAUUUUGGACAAUGGGCGAAAGCCUGAUCCAGCAAUGCCGCGUGCAGGAUGAAGGCCUUCGGGUUGUAAACUGCUUUUGUACGGAACGAAAAAGCUCCUUCUAAUACAGGGGCCCAUGCACGGUACCGUAAGAAUAAGCACCGGCUAACUACGUGCCAGCAGCCGCGGUAAUACGUAGGGUGCGAGCGUUAAUCGGAAUUACUGGGCGUAAAGCGUGCGCAGGCGGUUAUGUAAGACAGAUGUGAAAUCCCG